AGUGAACGCUGGCGGUAGGCCUAACACAUGCAAGUCGAACGGCAGCACAGUAAGAGCUUGCUCUUACGGGUGGCGAGUGGCGGACGGGUGAGGAAUACAUCGGAAUCUACUUUUUCGUGGGGGAUAACGUAGGGAAACUUACGCUAAUACCGCAUACGACCUACGGGUGAAAGCUGGGGAUCUUCGGACCUUGCGCGAUUGAAUGAGCCGAUGUCGGAUUAGCUAGUUGGCGGGGUAAAGGCCCACCAAGGCGACGAUCCGUAGCUGGUCUGAGAGGAUGAUCAGCCACACUGGAACUGAGACACGGCCCAGACUCCUACGGGAGGCAGCAGUGGGGAAUAUUGGACAAAGGGCGCAAGCCUGAUCCAGCCAUACCGCGUGGGUGAAGAAGGCCUUCGGGUUGUAAAGCCCUUUUGUUGGGAAAGAAAAGCAGCAGGUUAAUACCCCGCUGUUCUGACGGUACCCAAAGAAUAAGCACCGGCUAACUUCGUG
RNAcentral lists this ribosomal RNA (492 nucleotides) under uncultured bacterium. RNAcentral describes it as "partial 16S ribosomal RNA". It matches the Rfam family "Bacterial small subunit ribosomal RNA", at positions 29 to 507 of the family's 1533-position model. The record is from RNAcentral.